This 867-nucleotide ribosomal RNA is filed under the name uncultured bacterium. RNAcentral's name for it is "bacterial SSU rRNA". It matches the Rfam family "Bacterial small subunit ribosomal RNA", at positions 32 to 904 of the family's 1533-position model. The record is from RNAcentral.
AACGCUGGCAGCGUGCAUAACACAUGCAAGUCGAACGGGAAUUACUGGUGUAGCAAUACAUCGGUGGUUCUAGUGGCAGACGGGUGAGUAAUACAUAAGGAAUCUACCUAGAAGUGGGGAAUAACUGGCCGAAAGGUCUGCUAAUACCCCAUGACAUAAAGAGGCGGCAUCGUCUCUUUCUUAAAGGUUUUUCGCUUCUAGACGAUCUUAUGGUCUAUCAGCUAGUUGGUAGGGUAACGGCCUACCAAGGCGACGACGGAUAGCCGGCCUGAAAGGGCGACCGGCCACAGGGGCACUGAGACACGGGCCCCACUCCUACGGGAGGCAGCAGUGGGGAAUUUUGGACAAUGGACGAAAGUCUGAUCCAGCAACGCUGCGUGAAGGACGAAGGUUUUCGGAUUGUAAACUUCUUUUGCAGGGGAAGAAAAAAAUGACGGUACCCUGUGAAUAAGCCACGGCUAACUACGUGCCAGCAGCCGCGGUAAGACGUAGGUGGCGAGCGUUACUCGGAAUUACUAGGCGUAAAGCGUACGUAGGCGGAAGUUUAAGUCUGUUGUGUAAUCUCCAAGCUCAACUUGGAAACUGCAACAGAAACUGGGCUUCUUGAGUGAGGCAGAGGAAAGCGGAAUUCCUGGUGUAGCAGUGAAAUGCGUAGAUAUCAGGAGGAACACCGGUGGCGAAGGCGGUUUUCUGGGCCUUUACUGACGCUAAAGUACGAAAGCUAGGGGAGCAAACGGGAUUAGAUACCCCGGUAGUCCUAGCCGUAAACGAUGAUAACUAGGUGUGGGAGGUAUCGACCCCUUCCGUGCCGACGCUAACGCAUUAAGUUAUCCGCCUGGGGAGUACGGCCGCAAGGUUAAAACUCAA